This 322-nucleotide ribosomal RNA is filed under the name Pseudoalteromonas sp. FRA000005. Its description in RNAcentral is "bacterial SSU rRNA". It matches the Rfam family "Bacterial small subunit ribosomal RNA", at positions 32 to 356 of the family's 1533-position model. Lineage: Bacteria; Pseudomonadati; Pseudomonadota; Gammaproteobacteria; Alteromonadales; Pseudoalteromonadaceae. The record is from RNAcentral.
AACGCUGGCGGCAGGCCUAACACAUGCAAGUCGAGCGGUAACAGAAAGUAGCUUGCUACUUUGCUGACGAGCGGCGGACGGGUGAGUAAUGCUUGGGAACAUGCCUUGAGGUGGGGGACAACAGUUGGAAACGACUGCUAAUACCGCAUAAUGUCUACGGACCAAAGGGGGCUUCGGCUCUCGCCUUUAGAUUGGCCCAAGUGGGAUUAGCUAGUUGGUGAGGUAAUGGCUCACCAAGGCAACGAUCCCUAGCUGGUUUGAGAGGAUGAUCAGCCACACUGGAACUGAGACACGGUCCAGACUCCUACGGGAGGCAGCAGUG